AUAGAUAUAGUAUUGAGUAUGGACUCAUGCUCAGAAACGAAUAGAUCUAGUAAACAGAAAGAUACUUAUUUCAAUUUGUUUUCCGAGUGGUUUAAAACAUUGGAAACAACGUUAGCCAUAGUAAAAAUGUUAAAAAAGCAUGAACUUUCAAAUUUGGGACGAUUAAAUCUUCAACUACGCGGAAGACAAAUAAAUCACAAAGUUUCUGUUGACUUUAAAUUUAAAUCGCAAAGUUUCGGUUGACCAGUCAUUUUAGACAUGUCGUUAAGUUGCUUAACAGAGAAUGUUAACGCUGUUUAAGUGUCGUUAGUUGCCUCUGUUAUCUCAAAAACGACACAGUUUACUGUUGAAACAAAACGGCGUCGUUUUGUAACUUGAAACAAAUAAAGACCUAAAUCCCAAAUCGAAAUUCAUUUCCCCCAAAUCAAAAAUCAUCUUCUAACCCUAGAAUUUCUUCUUCUUGCUCGUGAUUCUUUCUGUUCGAAUUAGCUCGGGAUUCUUUCUCUCUGUUCCGAUGAGUUCAAGCUCUGCCACAUCCGGUGUCGUCGGAGAUCGUGGUGUCCCGUGUAAGUGUGUGUGUGGUUUAAGUGUCACAGUUUUCACAUCGAAAUCACAAGAUAACUCAGGACGUCCGUUCUUCCGUUGUAUUAGCAAACGAGAUGCUAAGACGUGGACAAACAACAGGAAUGUAAGUUAAGUAUGAUUGUGUAACUUGUGGUUUAGAUCUUGCAAUGUAAGCUUACAAUUUGUAAUAUUUUUUGUGGCAUAGGGGCAUUUGUUUAAGUGGGUCGAAGAAGCAGUGUUUGAAGAGGUUGAAGAUGCUUUGCCAAGAUUAGCAGUAAUUGCAAACGAGAUUAACAAAGCCAAAUCAGAGGCACUUGAGUUAAAGGCUAUGAUUCAGGAAAUAUUAGAAGAAGCAUUGAUCAAUAAGAUGCAAAUCCGAAGAAAUUGGUGCGGCUUGAAACUGGGUUUUGUGUGGCUUUUUGUCAUCACCAUUGUGAUUGUUUACGUGUUGUUUGGUCAGGAUAAUGAGAAGAAACUUGUAGCAGGGUACUAGUGUAGUGUAUGCAUUGUAGUAUUGUAGUAUUGUAGUAGUUAUGCACUUGUAUGGAGCUUGUAUUGUAUGCAUUGUAUGGAGCUUGUAUUUGUGAAACAUGACUUUGAUUAAUACAUGUUUGGUUUGGUUCGAACUUGUUGCAGUAAGCGAAUUAGAAUGACACCAAUUUUGCAUACAAACUGAAACCAUGUUUUGCAUACAAACUGAAACCAUGUUUUGCAACCAAAAGAAACACCAAUCCAUGUUUUGAAACAAAGACAAACACAACCAGCAGAUUCUAAUCCGACUAAAACACAAAAACAAAUAGAACCUGCAGUUUCAGUUUCUAAACCGUGAAACACAAAAAACAAACCAAACCAACCAAUCAAACAAUCCUAGUUUGAACAAUUAAACCAUGCUUCCAACCCUUGUAAUCCUCUCCCUCCUCUCUGUGACCCUCCUCUCCCUCCUCUCUGUGACUCUCCUCUUCUUACACUCCGUGUUCCUCUUGUCUCAGUUGGUGCUGCUUGAGAUGGUGCUUCUUGAGAUGGUUGGGAAAGAGAUUGUGCUCCUUGAGAUGGUGCUCCUUGAGAUGGUGCUUCCUGAGAUGGUUGUGAAAGAGGUGCUCCGUGAAAAACUUGAGAUGGUGCUCCGUGAGAAGAUGGUGCUCCUUGUGCUUGCGGUUCUUGCCAUGUUUGACCUUGUCCAAAAAAGACCAUCCUCGGAUCCUGUUUUCAAUCAACCAAAAUAUCAAAACUAUUCGCAGAAUUUUUGUGAACAUCAAGAUGUUAAAAUGUUAAAGAGGAUACCUUGUCUUUUCUUGGUCGACCCCUUGGUCUUUUAGCUGGAGGUGCAACUGUCUCGUUCUUACAUCCUUGCUUAUUGUGUCCUUCUCCUUGACAAUUUGAACAAGUCAUCACUCGGUGCAAACGUGAUAACUCGGUGGUACUUGAGCUAGAGGCAGUUGAAGAUUCAAAAACGCCUUUUCUCCUAGCAUGAUUCUUUGGUCUUCCUGGAUUGCCUCUUCUCCAUGGAGGUGGUAACACUCCUACUUUAUUGACUGUUGGCCACAAAAGCUUACCUUGAACAGGCCCAAUACCGUCAUUGUAUGUUUGCUUCCACAUACUAGUUGUGUACCAGUCACUAACAUAAUCCUCCACUUUUUGACGCUUUCCUAUUAUGACAGAGGCAGCAUGAAUACAUGGGAUACCUGUCAUCUGCCACUUCAUACAACCACAAGUGUUAUUAUUCAUAUCUACAGUGAACGAAUCCACUGGACCCACCUUGAUCUCAUGUUUAUUGUGCCUAGCCAUCCAUCUUUGACAAACCUGUGACCCAGCAAUCAUCUUCUCUAUCUCAGCAUGUGCCCUUUUUGUGAAUCGAGUCCUCAAUCUAUCAGCAAUCACAUACCUCUUCUCAUUACGCACCAUACACUGCCUCCUAAUGUCUUCCAACAUGUCAAGUAAUGGCUUCCUCCUUGCUUCUCUAAUUGUUCUAUUGAAGGACUCACUGAGAUUGUUUAGAUUGUCAUUGCAGCAGCUCCCAAUCUUGAAGAAAGCUCUAGACCAUGUCACAGGCAGAGUCUUGAGUAACAACUCAAAAGCACUUGCAUUGUAGCUCUUGAGUGCUCGCAUAUGAGCACCAAAUUCGCCUUCAGUGUAGCUCCUAACAAUUUUCCAGAAGAGGCGUUGAAGCUCCAUAUCAUGGCUAUUUCUCUUCCAGUUUUCCAUGAUGUGCCUUGCACAUUGUCUAUGCUCAGCUUGUGGAAUGACCGAAUGAAUUGCUUUCACUAAACCCUGAAAUAGAUGAUAGAAAGAAGAUAUAAUUAAACAAGGCAAUCGAAAGCUGAAACUAACUAAAUUAAGUUAGUAAGACUUACACUUUGUUUGUCUGAUAUUAUUGCUACGUUUCUUCCAUCUUGAAGAUCCAAAGUUCUUGAUAGCAUCCUUACAAACCAAUCCCAGUUGUCAUCAUUCUCAAUCUCUACAACUGCCCAAGCUAUUGGUACUAUUCUAUUAUCUCCAUCUCUUCCAGUAGCAGCCAAUAAAUGUCCCUUUAUGUCCCAUUU
Molecule: small RNA, 3104 nt
Filed under: Arabidopsis thaliana (thale cress)
Lineage: Eukaryota; Viridiplantae; Streptophyta; Magnoliopsida; Brassicales; Brassicaceae
Description: ATSL044460
Source: RNAcentral